UCCAGAGGUCUCGAGCGUUGUUCGGAUUCAUUGGGCGUAAAGGGCGCGUAGGCGGCGGGGUAAGUCUGGUGUGAAAUCUCGGAGCUCAACUUCGAAAUUGCACUGGAUACUGCUCUGCUAGAGGGCUGGAGAGGAGAUCGGAAUUCACGGUGUAGCAGUGAAAUGCGUAGAUAUCGUGAGGAAGACCAGUGGCGAAGGCGGAUCUCUGGACAGCCCCUGACGCUGAGGAGCGAAAGCCAGGGGAGCAAACGGG
This 253-nucleotide ribosomal RNA is filed under the name uncultured bacterium. RNAcentral's name for it is "partial 16S ribosomal RNA". It matches the Rfam family "Bacterial small subunit ribosomal RNA", at positions 524 to 776 of the family's 1533-position model. The record is from RNAcentral.